This is a non-coding RNA of Poecilia latipinna (sailfin molly), 488 nucleotides long. NCBI's taxonomy places the organism in Eukaryota, Metazoa, Chordata, Actinopteri, Cyprinodontiformes, Poeciliidae. The record is from the annotation of a RefSeq genome assembly.
UGUCUGUUAAAUCAGCCAACAUGUUUCGUGCUGCUCUGUUCCUGUUACUAGCAGCUGCAGAUGUGAAGUGUGAACAGCUGACCCAGCCAGCCUCUUUGACUCUGCAGCCAGGUCAACCUCUGACCAUCAGCUGUCAGGUCUCUUAUGAUGUUACCAGCUACUGGACAGCUUGGAUCAGACAGCCUGCAGGGAAAGGACUGGAGUGGAUUGGAGAUGCAAAAGGAUCUUCAACAGAUUACAAAGAUUCUCUCAGAAACAAGUUCAGCAUUUCCACAGACUCCUCCAGUAAAACAGUGACUCUGAAGGGACAGAAUUUGCAACUGGAAGAUGCUGCUGUGUAUUUCUGUGCUAGACUCCACAGUGAAGCAAAACAUGAACAGACCUGUACAAAAACCCAUUCAGUACCUGAACACUUGAAAUACUGUAAGCCUCCAGAGGAGGCACCAUCAGACCAUAAAUUAUUUGCCAGCAAUUUAUUCCACACUUAA